Molecule: ribosomal RNA, 718 nt
Filed under: Niallia circulans
Lineage: Bacteria; Bacillati; Bacillota; Bacilli; Caryophanales; Bacillaceae
Description: bacterial SSU rRNA
Rfam family: Bacterial small subunit ribosomal RNA
Source: RNAcentral
CAGUCGAGCGGACUUUAAAAGCUUGCUUUUAAAGUUAGCGGCGGACGGGUGAGUAACACGUGGGCAACCUGCCUGUAAGACUGGGAUAACUUCGGGAAACCGGAGCUAAUACCGGAUAAUCCUUUCCCUCUCAUGAGGAAAAGCUGAAAGACGGCAUCUCGCUGUCACUUACAGAUGGGCCCGCGGCGCAUUAGCUAGUUGGUGAGGUAACGGCUCACCAAGGCAACGAUGCGUAGCCGACCUGAGAGGGUGAUCGGCCACACUGGGACUGAGACACGGCCCAGACUCCUACGGGAGGCAGCAGUAGGGAAUCUUCCGCAAUGGACGAAAGUCUGACGGAGCAACGCCGCGUGAGUGAUGAAGGUUUUCGGAUCGUAAAGCUCUGUUGUUAGGGAAGAACAAGUACAAGAGUAACUGCUUGUACCUUGACGGUACCUAACCAGAAAGCCACGGCUAACUACGUGCCAGCAGCCGCGGUAAUACGUAGGUGGCAAGCGUUGUCCGGAAUUAUUGGGCGUAAAGCGCGCGCAGGCGGUCCUUUAAGUCUGAUGUGAAAGCCCACGGCUCAACCGUGGAGGGUCAUUGGAAACUGGGGGACUUGAGUGCAGAAGAGAAGAGUGGAAUUCCACGUGUAGCGGUGAAAUGCGUAGAGAUGUGGAGGAACACCAGUGGCGAAGGCGACUCUUUGGUCUGUAACUGACGCUGAGGCGCGAAAGCG